RNAcentral lists this ribosomal RNA (484 nucleotides) under uncultured bacterium. RNAcentral describes it as "partial 16S ribosomal RNA". It matches the Rfam family "Bacterial small subunit ribosomal RNA", at positions 30 to 507 of the family's 1533-position model. The record is from RNAcentral.
AUUGAACGCUGGCGGCAGGCCUAACACAUGCAAGUCGAGCGGAUGAAGGGAGCUUGCUCCUGGAUUCAGCGGCGGACGGGUGAGUAAUGCCUAGGAAUCUACCUGGUAGUGGGGGAUAACGUCCGGAAACGGGCGCUAAUACCGCAUACGUCCUGAGGGAGAAAGUGGGGGAUCUUCGGACCUCACGCUAUCAGAUGAGCCUAGGUCGGAUUAGCUAGUUGGUGGGGUAAAGGCCUACCAAGGCGACGAUCCGUAACUGGUCUGAGAGGAGGAUCAGUCACACUGGAACUGAGACACGGUCCAGACUCCUACGGGAGGCAGCAGUGGGGAAUAUUGGACAAUGGGCGAAAGCCUGAUCCAGCCAUGCCGCGUGUGUGAAGAAGGUCUUCGGAUUGUAAAGCACUUUAAGUUGGGAGGAAGGGCAGUAAGUUAAUACCUUGCUGUUUUGACGUUACCAACAGAAUAAGCACCGGCUAACUUCGUG